GCGUUGGUGGUUUAGUGGUAAAAUUCAUCGUUGCCAUUAGUUCUACAUAGUCCUAAUUCGAUGAGCCCCGGGUUCGAUUCCCGGCCGACGCA
Molecule: non-coding RNA, 92 nt
Organism: Polychaeton citri CBS 116435
Lineage: Eukaryota; Fungi; Ascomycota; Dothideomycetes; Capnodiales; Capnodiaceae
Source: the annotation of a GenBank genome assembly